UUCUUCCAGCACAGGCGGACGAGCUGCCAGCCACGCGCGCGGCGAACACCUGAGCAGGUCCCGCGCGGUACUGAGGGAGAGUGACAGCGGCUCAGUCCGAGCGCGAGCGGGCGGCCGUGCCACCGCGGUACGUACGGUCCAGGAAAGCGGCACCGACCCGAACCGACCAGCUCACCGUGUUCCGUCCCGCUAUUCUACUCUGAACAGUGGUGGUGGUGGUCUGGUGGCAUGGACAUUGCGCUCUUCCCCUGCAUUUCCACCCCGAGGGGAAUACUGCUUUUUACUGCCCACGCUUUCUUUUUGUUAAUAUUUCUCAAUGCCCUACCGGCGGUAUUAAUAGCAGCCUAAUAUUCUCCCAGUCUAACCCUUCGCUAGCCUCUGUCUCCCUGCUUUUUCUUUGUCCUGACUCUGGCUACCAGUCUCCCUCCUCCUCCUCUGCCUGCCUCUGCUGGCGGGGCUGCGGCGCAGACACACAUAAUAAAGCCAAGGCAGGCAGUGCUUGGCUGGAAAUGUAGCCGCGUCCCAGCAGGGGGAUGUGAGAGAAGGGUCCCGGCGGGGGAGCGCUCUGAUCCCGCAGGGAGCAGCUCGGCACAGCCCGGGUUGGCUGAGGCAGAGAGGCAGGAUAGAGGCAGGCUGGGCUGACUGGAGAGAGAGGGGAGGCGGAGGGCAGAGUUAGGCAACAGCGCCUAGCUGUGGCCGACCGGCCCAACUGCAGCAGGGACUCGGAGAAUACAGAGGAAGGAGACAGAGGGAAAAUAUGGACUUGGAUUUAAGUUGGAUAUGGAGGUGGCUCUGGAGUCAAGAGGUUCAAUAAGUAAAUCUGACGCAGAUAAUGAGGGUUGCUAAACAGCAGAAGCUGUCGGAUGAUUAUUUGAACACUAUCAACCGGCAACCAGUGUCACAACAAGUCACUCUUAGGCCCCAAUAGAAAUCACACAGUUUUUUUAUGUUUGUAUCCCUGCAUUAAACAUGCCUGCUGAAUUUAACACCAUGCUCCACUCUUGUGUGGCUUUACUAGUUAGGCACAUUUCAAGCUUUAACAGGAAGUGUGUCUUUUUUUUAUAGAGAGAGGACGGAAACAAUGAAUUCAAUAAAUUGACACAGCGUAGCUACAGUAACAUUUAAGUUCAAGGCAUUUUUUGGCUCACUUCACAAUAUUUUCACACCAGUGGUUGACGGAGACACAUUCCCUGGAAUUUUGUUUUGCCAGCUGCCUCGUGGAAAUUCACCUAAAAUUCAUGCAGCUGUUGGACAGACGCACACUUACAGCAGAGGCGUGUCUGUCAUGAUUCUGUGUCAGAAAAAACUCAAUUGCCCUUUAAUGCGUGGAGGUGUGCGUUGUGACACCUUCAUAUAAUAGAGCCCAACUCUGAUCUUGGCAGAUAUCUGUUGGAAUUUAUUUUCGUGUGACUUGUAAUUUAUCCUUUAAGAAAAUAGUAUUUCACCAUUAGUCAUGUCAGCAAAAAUGAAUAAUAAAAAAUAAUGAGUGUGUCUGAUGGCA
Molecule: long non-coding RNA, 1501 nt
Organism: Acanthopagrus latus (yellowfin seabream)
Lineage: Eukaryota; Metazoa; Chordata; Actinopteri; Spariformes; Sparidae
Exons: 2
Source: RefSeq, a predicted model, not a curated record